Molecule: ribosomal RNA, 1043 nt
Filed under: uncultured bacterium
Lineage: Bacteria
Description: bacterial SSU rRNA
Rfam family: Bacterial small subunit ribosomal RNA
Source: RNAcentral
CUCCUACGGGAGGCAGCAGUAGGGAAUAUUGGGCAAUGGGCGAGAGCUGGACCCAGCAACGCCGCGUGAGUGAAGAAGGCUUUCGGGUUGUAAAGCUCUGUCCUGGGGGACGAAGGAAGUGACGGUACCCCGGGAGGAAGCCCCGGCUAACUACGUGCCAGCAGCCGCGGUAAUACGUAGGGGGGGAGCGUUGUCCGGAAUGACUGGGCGUAAAGGGCGUGUAGGCGGCCGAUUAAGUAUGGAGUGAAAGUCCUGCUUUCAAGGUGGGAAUUGCUUUGUAGACUGGUUGGCUUGAGUGCGGAAGAGGUAAGUGGAAUUCCCAGUGUAGCGGUGAAAUGCGUAGAGAUUGGGAGGAACACCAGUGGCGAAGGCGACUUACUGGGCCGUAACUGACGCUGAGGCGCGAAAGCGUGGGGAGCGAACAGGAUUAGAUACCCUGGUAGUCCACGCUGUAAACGAUGAAUGCGAGGUGUUGCGGGUAUCGACCCCUGCAGUGCCGGAGUAAACGCAAUAAGCAUUCCGCCUGGGGAGUACGGCCGCAAGGUUGAAACUCAAAGGAAUUGACGGGGGCCCGCACAAGCAGCGGAGCAUGUUGUUUAAUUCGAUGCAACGCGAAGAACCUUACCAUGUCUUGACAUCGAGGUAAACUUGUAGAAAUACAGGGUGGAUUCGUCCGACCGAAGACAGGUGGUGCAUGGUUGUCGUCAGCUCGUGUCGUGAGAUGUUGGGUUAAGUCCCGCAACGAGCGCAACCCUUAUGGUCAGUUACUCACGGGUAAAGCCGAGGACUCUGACAAGACUGCCGGGGACAACUCGGAGGAAGGUGGGGACGACGUCAAAUCAUCAUGCCCCUUAUGACAUGGGCUACAAACGUGCUACAAUGGUGGUUACAAAGAGGAGCGAGCAUGUAAAUGUAAGCGGAUCUCAAAAAAGCCAUCUCAGUUCGGAUUGUGCGCUGCAACCCGCCCACAUGAAGUUGGAGUUGCUAGUAAUCGCGGAUCAGAAUGCCGCGGUGAAUACGUUCCCGGGCCUUGUACACACCGC